This 479-nucleotide ribosomal RNA is filed under the name uncultured bacterium. RNAcentral's name for it is "partial 16S ribosomal RNA". It matches the Rfam family "Bacterial small subunit ribosomal RNA", at positions 28 to 507 of the family's 1533-position model. The record is from RNAcentral.
GAUGAACGCUGGCGGCGUGCUUAACACAUGCAAGUCGAACGAAGCACCUUGAUUCGAUUCUUCGGAUGAAGAUCUUGGUGACUGAGUGGCGGACGGGUGAGUAACGCGUGGGUAACCUGCCUCAUACAGGGGGAUAACAGUUAGAAAUGACUGCUAAUACCGCAUAAGACCACAGCACCGCAUGGUGCAGGGGUAAAAACUCCGGUGGUAUGAGAUGGACCCGCGUCUGAUUAGGUAGUUGGUGGGGUAACGGCCUACCAAGCCGACGAUCAGUAGCCGACCUGAGAGGGUGACCGGCCACAGUGGGACUGAGACACGGCCCAAACUCCUACGGGAGGCAGCAGUGGGGAAUAUUGCACAAUGGGGGAAACCCUGAUGCAGCGACGCCGCGUGAGCGAUGAAGUAUUUCGGUAUGUAAAGCUCUAUCAGCAGGGAAGAAAAUGACGGUACCUGACUAAGAAGCACCGGCUAAAUACGUG